GGACAUCUCGGUAUUUCGUGCGCA
Molecule: non-coding RNA, 24 nt
Filed under: Arabidopsis thaliana (thale cress)
Lineage: Eukaryota; Viridiplantae; Streptophyta; Magnoliopsida; Brassicales; Brassicaceae
Source: RNAcentral